This 499-nucleotide ribosomal RNA is filed under the name Bacillus subtilis. RNAcentral's name for it is "partial 16S ribosomal RNA". It matches the Rfam family "Bacterial small subunit ribosomal RNA", at positions 37 to 525 of the family's 1533-position model. Lineage: Bacteria; Bacillati; Bacillota; Bacilli; Caryophanales; Bacillaceae. The record is from RNAcentral.
CUUUUUGGGGUGGGGUCUAUCUGCAGUCGAGCGGAAGAGGGAGCUUGGUCCCGGAUGUUUUCGGCGGACAGGUGAGUAACACGUGGGUAUCCUGCCUGUAUGACUGUGGUAACUCCGGGAAACCGGAGCUAUUACCGGAUAUAUCCUUGAACCCCAUGGGUCUCGGAUGAAAGACAGUUUCUUCUGUCCCUUUCAAAUGGACCCCCGGCUCAUUUACUUAUUGGUGAGGUAACGGCUCUACCAGGGCACCAUGGCUAACCCAACUGAAAGGGUGGACGGCCCCCCUGGGACUGAAAACCGGCCCAAACCUCCACCGGAGGCAGCAAGAGGGAAACCUCCCCCAUGGGCGAAAGUCUGACGGAACACGCCCCCCGUAGUGAAGAAGGUUUUGGAACCAAAAAUUUUUUGUUUAGGAAAAACAAUUGGUGAAUAAAUGGGUGGCCCCUUGCCGGUCCUAACCAAAAGCCCCGGUUACUUUCUGCCGCAACCCGGGAAAACU